GAUGAACGCUGGCGGCGUGCCUAAUACAUGCAAGUCGAGCGAACAGAUGAGGAGCUUGCUCCUCUGACGUUAGCGGCGGACGGGUGAGUAACACGUGGAUAACCUACCUAUAAGACUGGGAUAACUUCGGGAAACCGGAGCUAAUACCGGAUAAUAUAUUGAACCGCAUGGUUCAAUAGUGAAAGACGGUUUUGCUGUCACUUAUAGAUUGAUCCGCGCCGCAUUAGCUAGUUGGUAAGGUAACGGCUUACCAAGGCAACGAUGCGUAGCCGACCUGAGAGGGUGAUCGGCCACACUGGAACUGAGACACGGUACAGACUCCGACGGGAGGCAGCAGUAGGGAAUCUUCCGCAAUGGGCGAAAGCCUGACGGAGCAACGCCGCGUGAGUGAUGAAGGUCUUCGGAUCGUAAAACUCUGUUAUUAGGGAAGAACAAAUGUGUAAGUAACUAUGCACGUCUUGACGGUACCUAAUCAGAAAGCCACGGCUAACUACGUG
RNAcentral lists this ribosomal RNA (497 nucleotides) under uncultured bacterium. RNAcentral describes it as "partial 16S ribosomal RNA". It matches the Rfam family "Bacterial small subunit ribosomal RNA", at positions 28 to 507 of the family's 1533-position model. The record is from RNAcentral.